GCAUAGAUAAUCUACCUUUUUGACCGGCACAACUCCGCGAAAGCGGGGCUAAUUCCGGAUGUGAUCACGAAGACGUAAAGUUUUUGUGAAGAAAGAUGGCCUCUAUUUAUAAGCUAUCGCGAGAAGAUGAGUCUGUGUCCCAUCAGCUAGUUGGUAGGGUAAUGGCCUACCAAGGCUUUGACGGGUAGCUGAUCUGAGAGGAUGAUCAGCCACACUGGAACUGAAACACGGUCCAGACUCCUACGGGAGGCAGCAGUGGGGAAUAUUGGACAAUGGGGGAAACCCUGAUCCAGCAACGCCGCGUGAGGGAAGAAGGCCUUCGGGUUGUAAACCUCUGUCGAAGGGGACGAAACCUAUCAUGGCUAAUAUCCAUGGUAAUUGACGGUACCCUUAGAGGAAGCACCGGCUAACUCCGUGCCAGCAGCCGCGGUAAUACGGAGGGUGCAAGCGUUGUUCGGAAUUACUGGGCGUAAAGCGUGUCUAGGUGGAUUUGUAAGUCAGGCGUGAAAUCCCCCGGCUCAACCGGGGAGGGUCGCUUGAUACUGCAUGUCUUGAGUUUCGGAGAGGUGGGCAGAAUUCCCAGUGUAGAGGUGAAAUUCGUAGAGAUUGGGAGGAAUACCGGAGACGAAGGUGGCUCACUAGCCGAAUACUGACACUCAAGCACGAAAGCGUGGGUAGCAAACAGGAUUAGAUACCCUGGUAGUC
Molecule: ribosomal RNA, 705 nt
Filed under: uncultured delta proteobacterium
Lineage: Bacteria; Deltaproteobacteria
Description: bacterial SSU rRNA
Rfam family: Bacterial small subunit ribosomal RNA
Source: RNAcentral